AUUUUCACAGAAUGGUUUUUAGAUGUAUUGUGUGCACCAUGAUCUAAAUGUCUUUCUUACACCCAGCCUGAGAGUGAAAUUCCAGAUAAAGCACUGACUGUUCCUCUCUCCCUCCCAGCGGUGUGUGUGUUCCUGGGUGCUGCUCAGCAGGCGCUUCUGCUACCCAGUCCUUGGUCUCCUGCAGUGCUGACUGGAUGGGUCCUGUGGAUCGUGCUCACAGACCUGCUGCUACUAAUCCACUCCUGUAGACGCAGAAGUAGAGGAAAUAAAAACAGCGAUGACAAAGAGAACAUUUUGUUUGUUCAGUUCGAGAGGUGGCAGCAUGGAGAGAGUCCCAAAGUCAAGAAGAUGGUGUUGGUAGUGUUCCUAAUAGGAAACACAGGGUUCCUGGCUGCCUUUAUAAAAGCUAUUUCAAAUGUAUAAUUAUGACAAAUGAUUGCCAUAUAUGAGACUAUCUUGUAAAUGUUGUGUAUGUUUUUACAUUGUACUGCCUUUUCAUCUAGUGCCACCAUCAGGGGUUAAAAUUUCCACUAUGACACAGAUCAAUGACAAGGUAUUUAAAAUCUAAAUAUAAUGGCCAAACUGUCCUAUAGUUAGUUGGUAUGUUAAUGCUUCCGAUUAUUCUCCAGCAUCAAACCUAAAUUUCACCUGCUCACAAAAACUAGGCCAGAUUUCAGUUAAAAUUCACUGAGCACAUUCACCACAAAAAUGAGCCAUUUCCAUUCUGGACAGCUCUUCAACUUCUAGUGCCAACCUCAGGCUAAAUUGUCAUCUUGGCAGACAAAUAAUCUCAUAAUAAGCAGAGCAUGUUAUGUACCCAAACAAAUAAAGGUAGCCAGCAUUCUUCAUAUACAUCUUUUAUUGUUGCACUAAUCUCUUCAAUACUUGCAUGAAGAAUACAAAGUGAAAAGUCCUUGCAUAUUUAGUGUAGUUCAGUUAAGAGCCCAGUAAACCCAAAAAAUCAAUGGCAGGGACUUUUCACACCAUGUUCAUACAUCAGCAAGUAAUCCUUGAGAUUUGUAAGCUAUACUCUAACAGUGAAGCAUACAAACAUGAAACGUAAAACAAUGCUGUUUAAGGUCAGUUCAAUCCAAGGUCAAGAAAGUACCAAGCUCUUAUAACCUGCUUUUCAGAGUAGCUGGACAUAUCAAGGCUUUGUAAAUAAUGAUAAACAUUUCUUUAUUAAAAUCAGCAGAUACCACUUAAGAAAAUCUCUUUUGAAAAUGUCUUGUUUGUGGUCAUGCAUGUCACAAUAAAGGGAACCACAAAGAAAAGUGCUUUAAAAUGAAUACUGGCCUACAAAUGCCCUGAUACAUAAAAAUUGAAAGAAUGUUGGAAAGUAAAGUCAGAAUUUGAUUGAACAUUUACAAGAAGUAUAUGUGAGUACACUGUGGCCUCACUCUGUAUAAGUCAACAUUCAUUUAUAGUGCUAUUGUAUAAAGAAUAAAGUAGGUUAAUCUGCAGAAA
This is an RNA transcript of Lates calcarifer (barramundi perch), 1467 nucleotides long. RefSeq lists it as uncharacterized. The transcript has 3 exons. The record is from RefSeq and is a predicted model, not a curated record. NCBI's taxonomy places the organism in Eukaryota, Metazoa, Chordata, Actinopteri, Centropomidae.